GAUGAACGCUAGCGGCAGGCUUAAUACAUGCAAGUCGAACGGGAUUCAGGGUAGCAAUACUUUGAUGAGAGUGGCGCACGGGUGCGUAACGCGUAUGCAACCUACCUUUAACAGGGGAAUAGCCCCAAGAAAUCGGGAUUAAUACUCCGUAACAUUGCGGGAUGGCAUCAUUCUGCAAUUAAAGAUUUAUCGGUUAAAGAUGGGCAUGCGUGACAUUAGCUUGUUGGUGAGGUAACGGCUCACCAAGGGCAACGAUGUCUAGGGGUCCUGAGAGGGUUAUCCCCCACACUGGUACUGAGACACGGACCAGACUCCUACGGGA
Molecule: ribosomal RNA, 322 nt
Filed under: uncultured bacterium
Lineage: Bacteria
Description: bacterial SSU rRNA
Rfam family: Bacterial small subunit ribosomal RNA
Source: RNAcentral